AGCCAGCACCGCUGGUGUCAGCAGCAACCUGUGAGCGUGCAGCAGCAGCACAGCAGAGCACAUCGGGGUUUCUCUGCUGGGGUUUGGAGAUGGGGCCCUGGGUCUGGGAACGGUCAUGAAGACUUAAGGGACAGGAGCAGCCCUAUAGAUGACAGCACCAUGGGAUCAGGGCAGCGUCUGGUUUAUAAGGUACAACACCAGCAUCUUCCCAACCUGCAAACAGGCAUAAAAACACGCAAGGAUGGAUAAAAGACGAGACCCACCCUAGCCUCCCCUUAACACACAAUCCAGGUGGCUCUGUGCUGUUGUGCUGCCCAGUGCCCCGCUUUGCAGCAGCAGCAGGAGGCUCCCCGGCUCCUCCCCAGGAGAGCUGCUAUGCUGGCGGCGACAAGGACAUCAUCGGGGCCAGGGAUGUCCUCCCACCCGCACCGCAUACCUCUUUCCGGCCCCAAAGCCCACAACAAACCCAGACAGACGCAGUUCUGCGAUAACCGUUCAAAUCAGCACUUCCUGCCCCAUUUCUCGCCCUGCAUUGCCACCUGGUGACCGCGGGAAGCAGAGCAGCUGCCUUUCAGUUCCCGUUAGCCGUGCCUGCAGAACGUUCUCGGCUGAAGGAGUUCUUUAAAAACAGGGUACUGAAACCGUUUAGCAACAGGAAACGAGACAAGAGGAUUUACGCACAUGGAUGUUGCCGUGUUCGUAUCUCUGCUGAUAAUGCUAGGUUAGUAUUUGAAGGACACUAAUUACUCAUUCAUUUCCUUUUCUGGAUGCCCAUCUCAGUGAGCACGAAGCACAGCCAGGGCAGCCCGAAGGCCAAGCUGGGUUGCAGAGUGGAUGCCAGCUUGUAUCCCCCAGCCAGUGAUGGUGGAGGACAGCUCAACCACAGCGCCCAAAACAGACAAGGAAAAAAAUCAAGCAAGAUUCUUCUCCUUUGCUGGCUUGGCCGUUGAGGAACCACACCAGUGCCCAGAGCUCUCAAGUGGGGCCCCAGGGCCAGCCUGGGUGACUUCGUCCUCACCUUUUGGAGAAGGCUUUGUAGCCCGGAGCACAGCACAGCCCUUGUACAGCGAGGGGAACGGGCUGCCACAGCCCCAACACCUAGCUGAGUGAGGUCUCCUAAGGAAUGACAACAGCUGCAUUAGGCAGCUCUAUAAACAGACCACAAUAAUUUCAUCUAGACAGAUGAUUAAGUGUACAGGAGAAAACACACACAGCUUUCCCUUUGGGUUUCUCAAGCCACGGUGGCUGACCUGCUCCAUCUGCUGGGCUGAAAAGAGCUCACCACAUAAGCCUAGCUCAGCCAAGCAGCACUUGUGCUUAGCAGAGCACCACGAGGCAGCCCUGGGUUCAGGCACCAAUUAGCUCUCAGUGCUGGUCCCAUUGCUGGGAUUAAUUGUGCCCCGAAUAGAAGUGAAGUGGGAAAAAGAAGGGUGACGUGCGGAACACGAGGAGGGGAUUUUGUGUUUUCAUGGUAUCCGUUCUCUUUUCUCAUUUGUUUUUGUGUGUUGGUGUUUCAGGUGUCUGAGUGAGGACUACCCGUAGGAAUGGGUACCAAGAAAACCCCAGGUGAGGAAUGAAGCAACGCGCCUUCGUGCUCUGUUUGAUGGAGGCGGUGGGCGUGAAUGCAGAAUAUCUAGCAUCAGC
Long non-coding RNA from Numida meleagris (helmeted guineafowl), 1644 nucleotides. RefSeq lists it as uncharacterized. NCBI's taxonomy places the organism in Eukaryota, Metazoa, Chordata, Aves, Galliformes, Numididae. The transcript has 3 exons. The record is from RefSeq and is a predicted model, not a curated record.